CAAAUCUUGAGUUCAUACAUUACGGUUUCGGGUGAAUUGGAGCUUUGUGCUUGCAGAUUAUUUUGAAUACACUUGCUGAAUCGAAUGGCCGCAUGUGCAGCUUGUAGGUAUGCCGGGAAAAUUGGAACGGUUUCAGGAAUGGGGACUGCUCUCUACAAAUUCAAAGCGUUUAGUGUGGAGGGGAAAUCGAAUACCACUUCUGUUUCUUCGCCUUUUGGAUAUUGCAGAAGAUCUGAUUAUCGGCCGUUUUCUCAGUUCGUGAAGUCUAGUGGAGGGCGAUUGUUCCCGGUUGACACAUUGGCUCAGAUUGAAAUGACUCAAGAAUCCAAUUUGUCCAAAUUCAAAUCUGAAGUUGAAAGCUCUCAGGGACAUCAUUUUUCUCUCUUGCAACAUGAAACUAAGAAACUUCAAAGUGAUAUGGAAAAAAUGCAUAAUAAGCUAAGGUCUGGUUUCACAGAGAUACUUUGCAACAAUUUUUGCCUCAUAUGAUGUAAGGAUAUAUAUUUUUUAUACUUCUUCGUAGGACAAUGACAUGCAUUGUAACACAGGUAUGAAACUGAUGACGUCACUAUAGCGAUAAGGGCUGAGUUCGCAUAUCAUAAGGCAAAAACCGAUCACAUGUACAACAAACUAGAUCGGGGAAUUCAUGCACUAAGUGCUGAGAUAGAAGCUACAAAGUAUGAUGUGAUAAAAUAUUUCAUAGGUACCAUUGUUUAUAUUUCAACUGUGGGUGUUGCUGUGAUUUUUAGGGCAUUGCAAAAGGGGCAUGAUCAUGAACCUUGAAUUUUUUUAUUUCUUUUUAUUGGUUUUGUUCUUUUCUUAUUUGCUAUUAUUGUAAACUGGAAAAGAAAAGAACACAUUUGCCACCGUUUUUUAAUAUUUAAUGCAAAAUUCCAAGUAUGGACUUCAUGCAA
Molecule: RNA transcript, 914 nt
Organism: Vitis vinifera (wine grape)
Lineage: Eukaryota; Viridiplantae; Streptophyta; Magnoliopsida; Vitales; Vitaceae
Exons: 4
Source: RefSeq, a predicted model, not a curated record